This is a non-coding RNA of Podarcis lilfordi (Lilford's wall lizard), 120 nucleotides long. The record is from the annotation of a GenBank genome assembly. Lineage: Eukaryota; Metazoa; Chordata; Lepidosauria; Squamata; Lacertidae.
GAGAGAGAGAGAGAGAGAGAGGGAGGGAGAGAAAGAAAGAAAGAAAGAAAGAAAGAAAGUCUGUCUCCCUUCUUUUUCCUUCCCUUCCCUUCUCUUCCCUCCCCUCUUCUCUUAACAUAG